Molecule: long non-coding RNA, 503 nt
Filed under: Homo sapiens (human)
Lineage: Eukaryota; Metazoa; Chordata; Mammalia; Primates; Hominidae
Description: HSALNT0352247
Source: RNAcentral
AGGACAGGACGGCCUGCGUGCCCCUGGGGUGCUCUCUCACCGAAGGGUCGUUCUCGUCGAAAGCAGAACCCCACAGCCUCAGGGGUUGCCUGGGAUCAAGAUGAACACACUGCAGACGAGGACACGAGCCCCACAGGAGCUCUUUGUCCCGCCGGAGACCAGCGGACCCACGUCAGAGAAGAUGCUUGUAUCUUUUCACGGCUCUUCUCUGAGAAAUGAAGCCACACCACAAUACGGUCUGGAAGAGGAAGCCGGGAAUGGGAGAUGGCAACAGUCCCUGUCACUGGAAUGCUGGCCUCUCUGGACAAGCCACCCUUUUGGAACCCCAUCCCUUAUGACCCUGGCAGUGGAACGGUGAUAUAUCCCGCCUGGCCGCCGGCGUCUGCCCUGUCCUCCCUCCUGCUCUGCCUCACCUGUUUCUCAAGUGCCUCAAUGCCUCUCGCUGACGCCCAAUGUCUUCAACAAAGAUGACUUCCCAGUCCGUCAGGGAGACAUUUCUUCGA